RNAcentral lists this ribosomal RNA (433 nucleotides) under uncultured bacterium. RNAcentral's name for it is "partial 16S ribosomal RNA". It matches the Rfam family "Bacterial small subunit ribosomal RNA", at positions 29 to 507 of the family's 1533-position model. The record is from RNAcentral.
AACGAACGCUGGCGGCAUGCCUAACACAUGCAAGUCGAACGAGACCUUCGGGUCUAGUGGCGCACGGGUGCGUAACGCGUGGGAACCUGCCCUUAGGUUCGGAAUAACUCCCCGAAAGGGGUGCUAAUACCGGAUAAUGUCUUCGGACCAAAGAUUUAUCGCCUUUGGAUGGGCCCGCGUUGGAUUAGCUAGUUGGUAGGGUAAAAGCCUACCAAGGCGACGAUCCAUAGCUGGUCUGAGAGGAUGAUCAGCCACACUGGGACUGGGACACGGCCCAGACUCCUACGGGAGGCAGCAGUGGGGAAUAUUGGACAAUGGGCGAAAGCCUGAUCCAGCAAUGCCGCGUGAGUGAUGAAGGCCUUAGGGUUGUAAAGCUCUUUUACCCGGGAUGAUAGUGACAGUACCGGGAGAAUAAGCUCCGGCUAACUCCGUG